RNAcentral lists this ribosomal RNA (324 nucleotides) under Mantidactylus melanopleura. Its description in RNAcentral is "partial 16S ribosomal RNA". It matches the Rfam family "Bacterial large subunit ribosomal RNA", at positions 2039 to 2527 of the family's 2925-position model. Lineage: Eukaryota; Metazoa; Chordata; Amphibia; Anura; Mantellidae. The record is from RNAcentral.
AAAUUAAUCUCCCCGUGAAGAAGCGGGGAUACUCAUAUAAGACGAGAAGACCCCAUGGAGCUUCAAACCCAACUACACCCCUAGCUCUUAUAGCCCCACAACCCCCCUAGGCGCCGUGUGCUUGGUUUUAGGUUGGGGCGACCGCGGAGUACAAUAAAACCUCCACAAUGAAUGGGAACACCCCCUUAUCUGAGGGCCACACCCCCUAAGAAUUAGAACACUAACAUAAAAUGAUCCAUUACUUGAUCAAUGAACCAAGUUACCCUGGGGAUAACAGCGCAAUCCAUUUCAAGAGCCCCUAUCGACAAAUGGGUUUACGACCUC